UGCCCAGCAACUCCUAUCCCUACCUCCUCGCGGUACUGGCCGGGGUACGAGUAACCUUAGGGAAGAUCGGGUAACAAACCCCCGGUGGGAACUUUGGUCGUAUGCUGACAGGGAAGG
This is a non-coding RNA of Aedes aegypti (yellow fever mosquito), 117 nucleotides long. NCBI's taxonomy places the organism in Eukaryota, Metazoa, Arthropoda, Insecta, Diptera, Culicidae. The record is from Rfam.